Molecule: ribosomal RNA, 497 nt
Filed under: uncultured bacterium
Lineage: Bacteria
Description: partial 16S ribosomal RNA
Rfam family: Bacterial small subunit ribosomal RNA
Source: RNAcentral
GAUGAACGCUGGCGGCGUGCCUAAUACAUGCAAGUCGAGCGAACAGACGAGGAGCUUGCUCCUCUGACGUUAGCGGCGGACGGGUGAGUAACACGUGGAUAACCUACCUAUAAGACUGGGAUAACUUCGGGAAACCGGAGCUAAUACCGGAUAAUAUAUUGAACCGCAUGGUUCAAUAGUGAAAGACGGUUUUGCUGUCACUUAUAGAUGGAUCCGCGCCGCAUUAGCUAGUUGGUAAGGUAACGGCUUACCAAGGCAACGAUGCGUAGCCGACCUGAGAGGGUGAUCGGCCACACUAGAACUGGGACACGGUCCAGACUCCUACGGGAGGCAGCAGUAGGGAAUCUUCCGCAGUGGGCGAAAGCCUGACGGAGCAACGCCGCGUGAGUGAUGAAGGUCUUCGGAUCGUAAAACUCUGUUAUUAGGGAAGAACAAAUGUGUAAGUAACUAUGCACGUCUUGACGGUACCUAAUCAGAAAGCCACGGCUAACUACGUG